This 72-nucleotide transfer RNA is filed under the name Camelus bactrianus (Bactrian camel). It matches the Rfam family "tRNA". From Rfam's summary of the family: Transfer RNA (tRNA) molecules are approximately 80 nucleotides in length. Their secondary structure includes four short double-helical elements and three loops (D, anti-codon, and T loops). RNAcentral also lists the same sequence under 2 other names. Lineage: Eukaryota; Metazoa; Chordata; Mammalia; Artiodactyla; Camelidae. The record is from Rfam by way of RNAcentral.
GGGUAUAUAGUUCAGUGCUAGAGUGCAUGCCUAGCAUGCACAAGGUCCUGGGUUCAAUCCCCAGUACUUCCA